CGGCCGCGACCGGCGGAGAAGCUGCUUCGUUCUCUGGUCCUCCCCGCCGACAUCAUGCUGCAGUUCCUGCUUGGAUUUACUUUGGGCAACGUGGUUGGGAUGUAUCUGGCUCAGAACUAUGAUAUACCAAACCUGGCUAAAAAAAUUGAAGAGAUCAAAAAGGACUUGGAAGCGAAGAAGAAGCCCCCCAGUUCCUGAGGCCGUCUCCAGCACUGUAUUCUGGACACAUCGAUUUUGCCCUGCCACCCUGGGGAGCUCCUUUACCUCCUGACCCAAAGCUUCUGUUCUUAUCUGUCUCAGCCAUUUCUUACUCGCUAGACCCUGGGUGUUGCCUCAGAGCAGAAAUAGGGCCACAAAUUCAGAACUCCUUUCUGCUUCCAACAGCCUUGCCUCCCCCUAUCUUUCUCUCGUGUACUUGGGAGGCUCUAAGACUGGAAUUAUGGUGCUAGAUUAGCAAACAAGACCUUUAAUUCAUAGUUUCUUUGGAAUUUCUACUCUUUUGUCAAAAGAAAAAUUGAUGAGUUUUGUAUAGCUGAUCGGAUAUAAGUAAUGCUGAUUUCAUAGUUAGCAAUUACAAUGGGUGCUUGUUAAACACUUGUUACUAAAUUUUGUUGCCUCAGAGUAAUUAAAAUGAAUGUGUAGAAGCCAGUUUCUGGUGAAGUAUCCAUUUAUUUUAUACUGCUGUCAGCUCCGUAGUUGAUAAUUAAAUCAAUAAAUCAGUUUGUUAUUUGCUGGGAAGUUA
Perognathus longimembris pacificus (Pacific pocket mouse) is the source of this 742-nucleotide long non-coding RNA. RefSeq lists it as uncharacterized. The record is from RefSeq and is a predicted model, not a curated record. NCBI's taxonomy places the organism in Eukaryota, Metazoa, Chordata, Mammalia, Rodentia, Heteromyidae. The transcript is spliced from 3 exons.